ACCUCCUCCUCCCUUCCCGCUCCGGUCAGGCGCGGUUCUCACCGGCUUCUCCGGUGGCCGCCUUUCUUUUUCUUCUUUUUCUUGGGAGGGGGCGAUGCCGAGCUGCUAGACCAAUGCUUGGUCCUGGGGGAGAAGGGGCGGGGGUGGGGGCGGUGAGGGGGGGCAGCCCCGCGCGCCCCCCACCCCCGCCGCGGCGGCCGCUGACCUGUACCCGCGGUGGCCGCGGUAGCAGGAGGCCGGGCAGUCACAGUCCACUGGGCCGUCGUCAUCGUCAAAGGGCGCGUACUCCAGGCCCGGCUCAGCGCCCUCGGUCAGCCGCGGGGUCUCCGCCACACUGCCGGCGACAGGGACGCUCACCACCAGUCUCGGGACGACUUUUCUUCACCCCUUUUCUCGGCGCAGGGGGCCUGACCUAGCCCCGCAAGUCUGCGGGCUGCUACCCGGCUGGGGGAGGGGCGAGGGGUAACUGCGGCCCCUGGCCUUACAGGGCUAGGCAGAGAUUUGGGGAACCCAACGGGGCACAUCCCCUACAGGUCCCCGACCUCACGGUACAAUCUUUUGCAAAAAAGAAGGAGAUAACCGAGCCCCUUAUUUAGCCCGCACCCCUUCUGAGUUCUCACCAUCUCAGUAAGCCCCCUCCUCUUUUUUUUUUUUUUAAUUUUGGAGAUAGGGUCUUGCUCUGUUGCUCAGGCUGGGUUGCAGCGGUGGGAUCAUAGCUCACUGCAGCCUUGAACUUCUGGGCCCAAGCGAUCCUUCCUCCUCAGCCUCUUGAGUAGCUGGGACUACAGGCGUGGACCCCUACCCUGGCUAAUUUGAAAAAUUUUGCAGAGACGGGGUCUCACUAUGUUGCUCAGGCUGGUUUCGAACUCCUGGCCUCAAGCGAUCCUCCCGUUUGAUCUCUCAAAGUGCUGGAAUUCCAGGCAUGAGCCACCCUGCAGUCGUGGGUGGGGUGUGUGUGGCUACUCCUUAGAUGAGGCUCCUCUUCUUCACUGAAUCCCCUCCAUAUCCUAGCCCCAUUCAUUGAAGCCCUCCCCCUCAGUGAACCCCCCAUUUGAUCCCUGUGCCCCUAACCCUACUGUCCUAUUCUGGGAACCCCAUCCCCACCCCUCCUUUCUCUCACUGAACCCUAAUUUCUCUUUUCUUUUCUUUCUUUUUUUUUUCAGUCUCACUCCGUUGUCCUGGCUGGAGUGCAGGGGCCCGAUCUCGCCUCACUGCAACCUCUGCCUGCUGCAGUCUCCUGCAAUCUCACCUCACUGCAACCUCCGCUUCCUGGGUUCAAGUGAUUCUCCUGCCUCAGCCUCCCGAGUAGCUGGGAUUACAGGUGCCCGCUAAUUUUUGUAUUUUUAGUAGAGAUGGGGUUUCUCCAUGUUAGUCAGGCUGGUAUGGAACUCCCGAUCUCAGAUGAUCUGCCAGCUUUGGCCUCCCAAAGUGCUGGGAUUACAGGCGUGAGCCACCGCGCACGGCGAACUCUAAUUUCUUCCUUUUUUUUUUUUCUUUUUCUUUUUCUUUUUUUUUUUUUUUUUUUUGAGAUGGAGUCUCACUCUGUCGACUAGGCUGGAGUGCAGUGGCAUGAUCUCAGCUCACUGCAUCCUCCGCCUGCUGGGUUCAAGCAAUUCUCCUGCCUCAGCCUCCCGAGUAGCUGGGACUACAGGCAUGCACCACCACGCCCAGCUAAUUUUUUGUAUUUUUAGUAGAGACGGGGUUUCACCAUGCUGGCCAGGCUGGUCUUGAACUCCUGACCUUGUGAUCCACCCACCUUGGCCUCCCAACGUGCUGGGAUUACAGGCGUGAGCCACCGCGCCCGGCAAACUCUAAUUUCUUAAAGAGCCCCUUCCUCCUGGCCUAUCUCCGCCCUCCCCGAGCCCUGGCUCAAUGAUGUGGGUCUUUCCUCACCUGGGUGUCCUAGUCCCUGAGCCCCCUCCCGCUGGCUGAGUGCCUCCCUGCCCCGCUUCCCCUCCUUUCCUCCAGCCCGGCCUCUGUCGCUGAAAUAUUCAUAGCCUCUCCUCGCCCUCCCCUCUGCAGCCUCCAGGGGCCCCCCCUGCUCAUCUCUGGCAGCAGGACUGUGCUCAUCAAUCAAGCCUGGUGGCAGAGGGUGGGGGCCUCCAAUACUCCCUAUCCAUCUUACAGAACUCUCCUUUUCGCUCAGCAGGGACCAGACACCUCCUGUCCCUGCUCCCGCAGCCCCAGCCAGCCUCUGCCACAGAUGUUGGCUCCCUACAGGCUCUUCUCAGAGCGCUUCUUUUUUUCUAGAGGUAGCUGGGCUGGAGGCAAGAGCAUGAGAUUUGAAGCUCCAGACAAGGGCUCAUCCUGCACUGUCCUGAGCCGCCUUGUGACCUGGAGCCUGCCGUGUCCCUCUGUGAGCCUCUUCUCGAAGAUGAGAAAACUGAGGUGCAGAGAAGAAAAGGAACAUUCCCUAUGAUGUCAAGACCUUUUAGUAAAGCAUAUACGUUGAGUCUAAGGCUGGAGCCUGUCUCUGUUCCUGUUUUGCUCCUACUCUGGCCAGAGAGAUGAGGAUUAAGUGGGGUAAGGUGGGAAAUACUUUACCCCUCACUACCCAGCAAUACAGAAAGUCUGCAAGAAGGGUUUCCCCGUUUCCUAUUGAGGUCUGUCUGUUCCUACAGUGCUGCCAGCCUUUACGAUGACUAAGACUGGGUGUGGUGGCUCAUGCCUGU
This 2672-nucleotide long non-coding RNA is filed under the name Homo sapiens (human). RNAcentral describes it as "HSALNT0341595". Lineage: Eukaryota; Metazoa; Chordata; Mammalia; Primates; Hominidae. The record is from RNAcentral.